Molecule: long non-coding RNA, 518 nt
Filed under: Homo sapiens (human)
Lineage: Eukaryota; Metazoa; Chordata; Mammalia; Primates; Hominidae
Description: HSALNT0389994
Source: RNAcentral
CGCCGCCCCAUCUGGGAUGUGAGGAGCGCCUCUGCCCGGCCGAGACCCCGUCUGGGAGGUGAGGAGCGUCUCUGCACGGCCGCCCCGUCUGAGAAGUGAGGAGACCCUCUGCCUGGCAACCACCCCGUCUGAGAAGUGAGGAGCCUCUCCGCCCGGCAGCCACCCCAUCUGGGAAGUGAGGAGCGUCUCCGCCGGGCAGCCACCCCAUCCGGGAGGGAGGUGGGGGGGGGGUCAGCCCCCCGCCCGGCCAGCCGCCCCAUCCGGGAGGGAGGUGGGGGGUCAGCCCCCCCGCCCGGCCAGCCGUGCCAUCCGGGAGGGAGGUGGGGGGGUCAGCCCCCCGCCUGGCCAGCCGUGCCGUCCGGGAGGGAGGUGGGGGGGUCAGCCCCCCGCCCGGCCAGCCGCCCCGUCCGGGAGGGAGGUGGGGGGGGGUCGGCCCCCCUGCCUGGCCAGCCGCCCCGUCCGGGAGGUGAGGGGCGCCUCUGCCCGGCCGCCCCUACUGGGAAGCGAGGAGCCCCUCU